Molecule: non-coding RNA, 9274 nt
Organism: Callithrix jacchus (white-tufted-ear marmoset)
Lineage: Eukaryota; Metazoa; Chordata; Mammalia; Primates; Cebidae
Source: RefSeq, a predicted model, not a curated record
GAUAUUUAAAAUUGAGAAUGUUCCUGAAAAUUCAGAUAUAUGAUUGUCCAACUCAUAGCAUUCUUCAAGAAUAGAAUCAGAUAAUAGUUCCAGAGUAUGUUUGAGAUAAGAGAAUGCACUAUUAGUUAAACAUUUUAUGAAAUUUCCACAGAUGCUAAUAUUUUUAGUUAGAAUUUCAUUAUUAUUUUAGUGAAUAUAACUGAUUUGUAUGUAUACAGCUGUCACUGAAAAUAAAUAAUAUAAGAUCAUGGUCUAGCAUAUGAUUAAUCCUUUGUUAUUUAAGAGAAAGUUAUUUUAUUUUGAAAUCCACUAUGGUUAUCUUCCACAUGAUGAAAAAUAAAUUCAUGAAUAUAAUACCAGAUAUCAUACUAGCAGAAACACCCAAGUGUCUAGAGUCUACAAAACUGAGUCAUAAACCAAAAGCAAUUAAUACCUCUAGUCAUUGGCUAAACUAGUUUCUAAAAGAUAGUUCUGUUGGCCCAAGGAAAAGCUUCCCCUUUUCCCUCUGAAGGUUCACUAAAAAUCAUGGUCAAAAACAUGUUAAUGGGAGAAAAGGCAUACAAAUUUAUUUGAUAAUAGUUUUAUGUGACAUAGUAGCCUUUAGAAUGAAGGAUAGGGUAUCUUACCAAAGAUAUAGGGAAAACUAUCCAUUUUAUGAUUAAGUUCAAUGAAGUAUGAACAGCCAUGUAGAAAUAUGAUUAGACAGAAAGGAUAUGAUCCAAUGCUAAUAUACUGAGUGGGGAAACCUAGCAAGGCCUGUCUGUUUAGAUUAUUCUUGGCCUCUGUGUGCAGCAUUUUUUUUUUCUGGGUAGGGGAAAGAGCCUUUCUGGAAUGGAGCUCUUAUGAUUUAUAAUCAAACGGAUAAUUUAUUUACAGACAGUGUUUUUUUUUUUUUGAGAUGGAGUUUUGCUUUUGUUACCCAGACUGGAGUUCAAUGGCGGGAUCUCAGCUCACCGCAACCUCUGCCUCCUGGGUUCAGGCAAUUCUCCUGCCUCAGCCUCCUGAGUAGCUGAGAUUACAGGCAUGCAACACCAUGCCCAGCUAAUUUUUUGUAUUUUUAGUAGAGAUGGGGUUUCACCAUGUUGACCAGGGUGGUCACAAUCUCUUGACCUCAUGAUCCACCCACUUCUGCCUCCCAAAGUGCUGGGAUUACAGGUGUGAGCCACUGCGCCUGGCCAGACAGUGGUAUCUUAAAGUAAUAUUUUAAAGUUUUAUGGCUGGCUUUGGAGGAAAGGGGUUCUUGAUUCUAGGACCUUUCUUGGGGAAGAGACUUGGGGUAGAAUGAAUGAAUGGUCAGACACAGGAGAGUAGAAGUUCAGAGAGAGCCACUUCUGAACCCUUCAUUUUGAGAUAUCAUUUUCUGAGACCCUACAGUAUAUAAUAUAAAACAUAUUUUAUGAUAUACCUUUAUAGUGCUGCAAUGGUUAGUCUUAUUUGUAAGCUUGUCUAGGCUAUGGUACUUAGUUAUUCAUUGAAAUACUACAUUGGGUAUUGUUGUGAAGGCAUGCUGUAGAUAAGGAUAACAUCUACAUUCAGUUGAUUGUAAGUAAAGGAGACUCUUAAUAAUGUGGGUGGGCCUAUAAAAUCAGUUGAAGGCCUUAAGAGCAAAACUGUCCUGGAGAAGGAAUUGUGCCUCAAGGCUGCAACACCAUUUCUGCCUGAGUUUCCAGACUGCUGGUAUAUCCUACAGAUUUCAGACUUAUCAGUCUCCACAAUUGCAAGAGUCAAUUUCUUAAAAUCAAUCAAUCAUCUAUGUGUAUUAGUCUGUUUUCAUAGUGCUAAUAAAGACAUACCUGAGACUGGGCAAUUUACAAAAGAAAGAGGUCUGAUGGACCCACAGUUCCACUUGGCUUGGGAGGCAUCACAAUUAUGGCAGAAAGAAGGCACAUCAUACAUGGUGGCAGACAAGAGAAGAGAGCUUGUGCAGAGAAACUCCCCUUUAUAAAACCAUCAGAUCUGAUGAGACUUAUUCACUAUCAUGAGAAUAGCAUGGGAAAGACCUGCCCCCAUGAUUCAAUUACCUUUCACCAGAUCCCUCCUACAACACGUAGAAAUUAUGAGAGCUACAAUUCAAGAUGAGAUUUGAGCAAGAACACAGCCAAACCAUAUCAUUUCACCCCUGAUCCCUCCCAAAACCAAUCAUGCCUUGUAAACAGUCCCCAAAAAUCUUAACUCAUUUCAGCAUUAACUCAAAAGUACACAGUCCAAAAUCUCAUCUGAGACAAGGCAAAUCCCUUUGUACUAUGAACCUGUAAAAUAAAAACCAAGUGAGUUACUUCCUAGAUACAAUGGUUAAAUACAGCUGGUCCAAAUGGGAGAAAUUGGCCAAAAAAAGGGGGGCUGCAGUCCCCAUGCAAGUCUGAAAUCCAGCAGGGCAGUUAAACUUUAAAGCUCCAAAAUGAUCUUCUUUGACUCUGUGUCUCACAUCCAGGUCAUGCUGAUGCCAAGAGGUGGGUCCUCAUGGUCUUGGGCAGCUCUACCCCUGUGGCUUUGCAAGGUACAGCCUCCUUUCUGGCUGCUUUCAUGGGUUGGCAUUGAGUGUCUGUGGCUUUUCCAGGAGCAGGCUAUAAGCUGAGGGUGGAUCUACUAUUUUGGUGUCUGGAGGAUGGUGGCAUUCUCCUCACAGCUCUACUAGGUAGCAACCCAGUGGGGAAUCUGUGUGAGAGCACCCACCUUACAUUUCUCUUCUUCACUGCCCUAACAGAGGUUCUCCAUGAAUGCUCUACCCCUGGAGCAAACUUUUGCCUGGGCAUCCAGGCAUUUCCACAUAUUCUUUGAAAUCUAGGUGGAGGUUCUCAAACCUCAAUUUUUGACUUCUGUGUAUCCUCAGGCUAAAUAUCACAUGGAAGCAGCCAAGGCUUGGGGCUUCCACUCUCUGAAGCCAUGACCCAAGCUGUACCUUGGCCCCUUUUAGUCACGACUGGAGCAACUGAGAGACAGGACACCCUAGACUGCACACAGCAGAGGGACCCUGGGCCUGGUCCACAAAACCAUCUUUUCUUCCUUGGCCUCUAGGUCCACAAUGGGAGGGGCAACUGCAAAGGUCUCUGACAGGCCAUGGAGACAUUUUCCCCAGUGUCUUGGUGAUUAACAUUCAGCUCCUUGUUAUUUAUAAAAAUUUCUACAGCCAGCUUGAAUUUCUUCUCACAAAAAUGGGGUUUACUUUUCUCAGAAAAUUGCAUUGUCAGGAGGCAAAUUUUCCAAACUUUUAUGCUCUGCUUCCCUUAUAAUACCGUAUGCAUUUAACAGCACCCAAGUCACAUCAUGAAUGUUUUAUUGCUUAGAAAUUUAUUCCACCAGAUGCCUUAAAUUGUCUCUCUUAAGUUCAAAGUUCCACAAAUAUUUAGGGCGGGGCAAAAUGCUGCCAGUCUCUUUGCUAAACCAUAACAAGAGUCAUCUUUGCUCCAGUUCCCAACAAGUUCCUCAUCUCCAUUUGAGACCACCUCAGCCUGGAUUUCAUUGUUCAUAUCAUUAUCAGCAUUUUGGUUAAAGGCAUUCAACAAGUCUCUAGGGAGUUCCAAACUUUCCCACAUCUUCCUCUCUUCUGAGCCCUCCAAACUGUUUCAACCUCUGCCUGUUACCCAAUUCCAAAGUCACUUCCACAGUUUCAGGUAUGUUUUCAGUAGCACUCCACUCUCAGUACCAAUUUACUGUAUUAGUUUGUUUUCAUGCUGCUGAUAAAACAUAUACCAGAGACUGGGAAAUUGACACACAAGAAAAGAGGUUUAACAGACUCACAGUUCCAUAUGGCUGGGGAGGCUUCAAAAUCAUGAUGGAAAGUGAAAGGCACAUCUCACAUGGUGGCAGACAAGAGAAGAGAACUUGUGCACAGAAAGUCCUCUUUAUAAAACCAUCAGAUCUUGUGAGACUUAUUCACUAUCAUGAGAAUAGCAUGGGAAAGACCUGCCCCAUAAUUCAAUUAUCUUCCAUUGGGUUCCUUGCAUAACUUGUGGGAAUUACAGAAGCUAUAGUUCAAGAUGAAAUUUGGGUGGGGACACAGCCAAACCAUAUCACUGUGUAUCCAUAUAUCUAUUCACUCAUCUAGUCUAUUGAUUCUGUUUCUCUGGAGAACUCUGACUAAUACACAUUUUAAUAAUAGCUAACACUUACAUGGCACUUAUAUUCUAGGCAAUGCUUUACAUAUAUUGUUUUAGAUAUAUUCACUCAUUUAAUUCUUAUUCACACAAGAUGAGUAUUAUCAUUACUGUCAUUUUAAAGGUGAAUAAUCUAAGAUACAGAGAGUUUAAAUAAUUUCUCAACAUUACACAGCUGGUCAGUGAUAAAUACUUCUCAAAAUGAUACAUUAUGUUCCUGGACAAAAAUCAUAAAAUGAAAUAGAACAAGAGCAGACCUUCAUUAAAAUUUUUUUCUUUUCUCUUUGUGUGGACUUGGUUUUGGAAUUUUUACCAUUAUGCUUACCACUGGCCUAAUAUUAAUGCUAUUGCAAGUAGUUAACAUUUGGUAAGCAUAUCAAAUGUAUGCCAAACUUUUUACAUAUAUUGUCUCAUUAUUCUCUCAAGAACCUUAUGAACUUGGUACUAUUGUUUACCAUAUUUUAUAAUGCAGUGGAAUAUUAAGAACUCAAACUCAGUUAUCUCUGACUCCACAAUCUUUACUCUUAAUUUUUUUGCCCCUUGGGGAAUCAUGGAAUCCUAAGAAGUUUGAGAAAUCUUGUUGUUCAGGUAGUUCAAAGACUUAUCUAAUGAAGUUGUCAUAUAGCAUUUCAUAUGAUAUUAAUCCAAUCUAAUCUGGAAUCUCUCCAUCAGUGCAAAGGCCUGAGCAGGCCAGCCAAAUGUUAUCUGGUGGGCCAAGAUCCAAGCCAGACAUACUUUCUGAGGCAGUCUAAAGCAGAGGAAGUGGUUGAGGUAGAACCAAUCUGCAGUCUAAUAGGGGGAAGUUGAAAAUAAGGAGGUUGAGUAACAAGACACAAAUAGUAAUUCCAAUAAAGAAAUUGUGGGCUUGUAAAGGAAAACAUCUGCGUAAUAACUAGAUUGAAGCAGACACUUGCCUGGGAUAUUUUAGCAAGCUAGUAGCUAUAUGGUUAGAAUGUUGGGCUACUUUAAAAGUAUAGAAUUGAGAUAUAGAGCUUACUAUUUCUAUUAUGACACAUUUUAGUACUUAGAAAAUUCUCCCAUGGAUGAAAUAGAAGCAUAUGCUUCUUUAAAACUGUAUCCAUUAGUUGUAAUUUUGAAACCACAGUGCAAAUAUACUUUCUUUUCCAUCAUUUUAAAACCACCAGUCAUUCCCUAAUUCUUCUCCCAACCUUUCUUACCAAGUAUUUAUCAGUUAUCAGCAUUAAAGAGCUUUUUGAGAGGCAUUAGCCAUCCUAAUUGUGUGUUAUUAUAAAUAUUAAGAAAAUAGGAUGACAAAUGGUGAAGCAUUUACUCUUGUAAUGGUGCUAACUGACAUAGUCAUUGGAAUGGAAUUUUCUGAAAAAGGGAUGAUAACAAUUUAGCCAUGUUUAGUUACAGCCUAGAUACUGAGAACAAGCCACCACCUUUACCCUGUGAACCCUGCAAAUUUGAGACUGGUCUCAGUUAAUUUAGAAAGUUUAUUUUGCCAAGGUUGAGGACAUGUGCCCUUGACACAGCCUCAAGUAGUACUGAGGACAUGUGCCCAAGGUGGUUGGGCCUAGCUUAGUUUUACACAUUUUAGGGAGACAUGAGACAUCAAUCAAUAUAUGUAAGAAGUAAAUUGGUUCAGUCUGGAAAGGCAGGACAAUAUGAAGCAAAGGCAGGAAGACUCAAAGUGGGGUGGGGCUUCCAGGUCACAGAUAGGUGAGAGACUAAUGGCUGCAUUCAAUGGCUUUAAAAGAAUGAGAGAGAUUUUCUCUGAGCAAUUCCCAGCCUGAAGUGGCCCUAGAUAUUUUCCUUUUACAUGUAUGAGGAACAUGUCAGUAAAAGCCAAAAAUGAGUUCUGAGAAGUCAGAGUCCAUUCUACGCUCUUUGAAAUGUGUCAGGUUAAAUAAAAUAAUACAAAUAAAAUGCUUAGUGCAUUCCUUAUUAGUAAAACUUCAGUAAAUGAAAGUAAUUAAAUACAGGGAGCAAUUGCUGUUGGCAAACAUAUUCAUGAUCCUGAGAAAUGAAGUCUGAGAACCUGAUAGCUAAGGAAAGCAGGAACACACACACACACACACACAGACACACACACACAUACACACACACACACACAACAGGCAUCACAGUCUGAAAUUGUUUUGUGAGGGAUAAACUGUCUGAGACAAUUAUUUUGUUAUAGAGUAGAGAAAUAAGUUCAAAGUAGCUUAAAUUCCUUUAAAUAUGAUUUCCUUAAAAGAAUCAGGUAUAUUUUAGAAAGGCUUCCCUACAAAAUGAAAAUAAAAAUUUUAUUUUAAUGGGUUAAAAUCUAAGCUACCUGAAAAACUUGUUUCUUAAAAAUGACUGAUUCCGGCUGGGCGCAGUGUCUCAUGCCUGUAAUUCCAGCACUUUGGGAGGCCGAGGCAGGUGGAUCACGAGGUCAACAGAUCGAGACCAUCCUGGUCAACAUGGUGAAACCCCGUCUCUACUAAAAAUACAAAAAAUUAGCUGGGCACGGUGGCCUAUAAUCCCAGCUACUCAGGAGGCUGAGGCAGGAGAAUUGUCUGAACUCAGGAGGUGGAGGUUGCGGUGAGCCGAGAUCGCGCCAUUGCACUGCAGCCUGGGUAACAAGAGUGAAACUUCGCCUCAAAAAAAAUUUUUUUUUAAAAAAUGACUGAUUCCACAUGGUUUCAGAUAGACAGGUGUUUGUCUUGUUUGGUUAAGUUUUGGUGUUACUAUGUCAGAUUACUUGACAACAUCAAUUCAACAUAAACUAAUUAGCACCUUGGAUCAGGAUCUCUAUUGAUUGUUGGGGAGUUAUAGAAAUAAGUGAGAUCAGAUUCUGCCUUCAAGGAGGGAACAAUCUAGAAGGAAGACGGGCAUACAGCCACGUAGAUUAAUAGCAAAUGUGUUUUAGUCACUUUGGGCUGCCAUAACAAAAUGCCAUAGACUGGGUGGUUUAAACAACAAACAUUUAUUUCUCACAGUUGCAGGGAUUGGAAGUCUGAGAUCAAGGUGCUAGUAUAUCUGAAUUCCUGGUAAAAGCCCUCUUUCUGCUUUAUAGAUAGCUGUGUUAUUGUAUCCUCACAUAGCAGAGAACAGAGAGGGAGAAAGUAAGUCCUCUCAUGUCUUUUUAUAAGGGUACUUAUCCCAUUCAUGAUUACUCUACACUCAUGACCCAAUUACCUUUCAAACUCCGCUUAUUUGGGCCCAUCAUGCUCCACCCCACGUGGGAGGGAUCAUAUAGGCAAGAGAGUGCAGGAACUGGUCAGCUACUUUAGCACCAGAAGGAGCAAAUUCCAUGCAGGCUCUGCAGCAGUGCCCAGGUUGGGGUGCCUGUGACCCCAAGGCUUCAGAGGGCAUGUUACGAUGGGUCCUUUGUCUCAUUGCAUGGAGUAGCUGCCCUCUGUCAGUGAGGGCAAAGGGCCAGUGUGACAGCCUUUUUUGGUACCCAUACUUGGUGGGUCCUGAAUUCUUUUCUGGUAUCCAAGAGAAUGAGGUCAUAAUUGAAGGAUGGUAAGUGUAGAGAAUUUUAUUGAGUGAUGAGAACAGCUCUCAGUAGAGAGGGGAGCUGGAAAGGGAACGGGAAAGGCAGGUCACUUUCCCUGAAGUCAAGUUGCCUGUCUGCCUCUCUCCUCCAAAGUCAGUUUGCCUCUGAUGUCUGGCCAUUGUCUUUGAAGUCAAGUCACCUCUCCCUGACAUCCAGCCGUUUCUUCUCUCUACUGGCUGAAUCUGCAGUCUUUAUAGUAACUGUUACCACCUAUGACAUUUUGGUGACCCGUGUGGGGACCUCUCCCCUACUCUUCUCCUUUCAUGUUUUCCAACUCCAACCUCUCGUUGGACAGCAUCCAAGCUUGGAGACAGCUGAUGAUCCUCAGCCAUGGCUAUUCUCCAGGAAGUCAGAAGGUCCCAGUAGAAAGACAUCUGAACACUGCCACUCAAUAGGCCUGACUACAGAGCAUAAGCAAAAGAACAAAGCAAGAAGCAUCAUGCUACCUGACUUCAAACUAUAUUACAAGGCUACAGUAAUCAAAACAGUACUGGUACCAAAACAGAAAUAUAGAACAAAUGAACAGAACAGAGUCCUUGGAGGCAACACUACACAUCUACAACUGUCUCAUCUUUGACAAACCUGACAAAAACAAGGAAUGGGGAAAGGAUUCCCUGUUUAAUAAAUGGGGUUGGGAAAAAUGGCUAGCCAUGUGCAGAAAGCAGAAACUGGACCCCUUCCUGACACCUUACACUAAAAUUAACUCCAGAUGGAUUAAAGACUUAAACAUAAGACCUAACACCAUGAAAACCCUAGAAGAAAACCUAGGCAAAACCAUGCAGAACAUAGGUAUAGGCAAAGACUUCAUGACUAAAAUACCAAAAGCAUGGGCAACAAAAGCUAAAAUAGACAAAUGGGAUCUAAUUAAACUCCAGAGCUUCUGUACAGCAAAAGAAACAAUCGUUAGAGUGAACUGGCAACCAACAGAAAGGGAAAAGAUUUUUGCAAUCUACCCAUCUGACAAAGGGCUAAUAUCCAGAAUCCACAAAGUACUAAAACAGAUUUACAAGAAACAAACAAACCAACCCAUCCAAAAGUGGGUGAAGGAUAUGAACAGACACUUUUCAAAAGAAGACAUACAUGAGGACAACAAACAUAUGAAAACAUUCUCAUCAUCACUGGUCAUUAGAGAAAUGCAAAUGAAAACCACAUUGAGAUACCACCUCAUGCGAGUUAGAAUGGUGACCAUUAAAAAAUCUGGAGAUAACAUGCUGGAGAGGAUAUGGAGAAACAGGAACACUUUUACACUGUUGGUGGGAGUGUAAAUUAGUUCAACCAUUGUAGAAGACAGUGUGGCGAUUCCUCAAGGACCUAGAAAUAGAAAUUCUGUUUGAUCCAGCUAUCCCAUUACUGGGAUAAUUCCCAAAGGAUUAUAAAUCAUUCUAUUAUAAAGACACAUGCACACAUAUGUUCAUUAUGGCACUGUUUACAAUAGCAAAGACCUGGAACCAACCCAAAUGCCCAUCAGUGAUAGACUGGACAGAGAAAAUAUGGCACAUAUACCCCAUGGAAUACAAUGCAGCCAUAAAAAACAAUGAGUUUGUGUCCUUUGUAGGGACAUGGAUGAAUCUGGAAGCCAUCAUUCUCAGCAAACUGACACGAAAACAGAAAAUCGAAUACCGCAUGUUCUCACUCAUAGGCAAUUGUUGAAUAAUGACAACACAUGGACACAGGGAGGGGAGCAGCAUAC